GAGUUUGAUCGUGGCUCAGAGUGAACGCUGGCGGCAGGCCUAACACAUGCAAGUCGAGCGGCAGCACGGGUAGCAAUACCUGGUGGCGAGCGGCGGACGGGUGAGGAAUACAUCGGAAUCUGCCUCGUCGUGGGGGAUAACGUAGGGAAACUUACGCUAAUACCGCAUACGACCGAGAGGUGAAAGCGGGGGAUCGCAAGACCUCGCGCGAUGAGAUGAGCCGAUGUCGGAUUAGCUAGUUGGCGGGGUAAAGGCCCACCAAGGCGACGAUCCGUAGCUGGUCUGAGAGGAUGAUCAGCCACACUGGAACUGAGACACGGUCCAGACUCCUACGGGAGGCAGCAGUGGGGAAUAUUGGACAAUGGGCGCAAGCCUGAUCCAGCCAUGCCGCGUGGGUGAAGAAGG
Molecule: ribosomal RNA, 405 nt
Filed under: uncultured Gammaproteobacteria bacterium
Lineage: Bacteria; Pseudomonadati; Pseudomonadota; Gammaproteobacteria
Description: bacterial SSU rRNA
Rfam family: Bacterial small subunit ribosomal RNA
Source: RNAcentral